AAGUCGUAACAAGGUUUCCUUCUAGGGUAUCACCCUCUGAAGCCUUCCACACCGACUCUAAAUAAAUGUGUAGUCUGUCCGCAGGCAAUGCCGUUAUAAUGCUGAAAUCAUCUUUUUGUUGAAUCAGCAGCCAGGGUUUAACUAUUCUGGCUCACAGAUCAAAACACGGUAACCAUUUAAUGGGUAAGAUAUGACCGGUCUUAACUAUCAUUAGUUAAAGAAUCCACGUUCCGUAGGUGAACCUGCGGAAGGAUCAUUACUGAGACCGGGUGCUUCGGCGCCCGACCUUCAACCCUAUGU
RNAcentral lists this unclassified non-coding RNA (300 nucleotides) under Lecanoromycetes sp. Its description in RNAcentral is "partial contains small subunit ribosomal RNA and internal transcribed spacer 1". Lineage: Eukaryota; Fungi; Ascomycota; Lecanoromycetes. The record is from RNAcentral.